UACGUACUGGUAUUGUUGGUUUCUCCCUUCUGACGAACCAUGAUGUCAUUUAUUUGGUGUUGUGGGGAAUCAGGACUGUUACUUUGAAAAAAUUAGAGUGUUUAAAGCAGGCUCACGCUUGAAUACAUUAGCAUGGAAUAAUGAAAUAGGACGUUUGAUUCUAUUUUGUUGGUUUCUAGGAUCGACGUAAUGAUUAAUAGGGAUAGUUGGGGGCAUUAGUAUUCAAUUGUCAGAGGUGAAAUUCUUGGAUUUAUUGAAGACUAACUACUGCGAAAGCAUUUGCCAAGGAUGUUUUCAUUAAUCAUGAACGAAAGUUAGGGGAUCGAAGACGAUCAGAUACCGUCGUAGUCUUAACCAUAAACUAUGCCGACUAGGGAUCGGAUGAUGUUAAUUUUUUAAUGACUCAUUCGGCGCCUUACG
Molecule: ribosomal RNA, 420 nt
Filed under: uncultured Glomeromycotina
Lineage: Eukaryota; Fungi; Glomeromycota
Description: SSU rRNA
Rfam family: Eukaryotic small subunit ribosomal RNA
Source: RNAcentral